Long non-coding RNA from Phyllostomus discolor (pale spear-nosed bat), 1509 nucleotides. RefSeq lists it as uncharacterized. The transcript has 2 exons. The record is from RefSeq and is a predicted model, not a curated record. Lineage: Eukaryota; Metazoa; Chordata; Mammalia; Chiroptera; Phyllostomidae.
GCAUAUGGCCUGACUGAGAAUCUAACCAGUGACCCUUUGGUUUGCAGGCUGGUGCUCAGUCCACUGAGCCACACCAGCCAGGGCUCUUCAUUGCAUAUUCUUGUUAGCCAACUCCUCAGACUUCCAAGUGAAAUUAAACAUCUUUCUACAGUCAUGUGCAGGGAUAAUGACAGGGAGAAAUACGUUGGGAGAAAUACGUUGUAGGCAUUUUUGCCAUUGUUCGAACAUCACAGACUAUAGUUUCUCAAACGUAGAUGGUAUAGCCUGUUAUACACCCAGGCUGUAUGGAUAGCCUAGCUCCUAGGCUACAAGCCUGUACGUCAUGUUAAUGUACAAAACUGCAUGAGAUUAAAUCAAGCACAAGAGAAAAUGAUGCAAUCACGAGACACAGUAAACACAAGUUCUAAAGUUGCUGCUGGCAUAACAUGACAUACUUUAAAGCAAAAUUUUUUUAUAAGUAGAAAGACUCCACUCUAAGCUAAUGACAUAAAGUAUAGUAUAGUAUAAUAUGUAUAGUAUCGUAUAUACAUAAACUAAUAACAGUUGUUAUUAUCAUUACCAGCUAUUAUACUAUACAUAAUUGUAUUGUAUAUACAUAUUUUUGUAGUAGGUUUGUUACAUCAACAUCACCACAAACACAUAAGUAAUGUGUUACACUACCACUUUAUGAUGACUGUUACCAUUAGCAAUAGAAAAUUUUCAGCUCCAUUAUAAUCUUAUGAGACCACCGUUGUAUAUGCGGUCUGUCAUCAACCGAAACAUCAUUCUGCAGCAUUUGUAUUAAUGUUAUGGGAGUAUUGAAUAUUGAUAGUUAUUAAUAGUGUAAGUUUUAGAAUCAUACAGACUUGAGUUAGAAUCCUAGCUCUUAAUAGCUGUAUGACCUUAAGCAUAAAGCUAAUAACCACUUCAUGGAGCAGAAGUGAAGAUUAAGUGCAAGAUUAAUGAAGAUUAUAGUAAUAUGGCCACAAUGUAUUGAACAUUUAUUACUGGUUGAGCACUGAGCUAAGUGUAAUACUUGGUCCAUAUUGCUCAUGUAAAACAGCUCAGUGCCAGACACAUAGCAGACAUUCGGUAAAGUAAAGCUAGUUAUUUUGUUGUCUUCAUCUGGACUGACCAUCUUAAUGGCAAGAACUAUGCCUUAUUUUUGUGAUCGACAGUAUGGUAGUUCAUCAAUAAAUAGUUGCUGAGUUUUAAUUUAUUUAGUGUGAUUUGAGACAUGCUAGGAGUUCUUUAAGAUGAUAUUCCCUGCUAACUUGACUUCAGUUCCUUUGGGAUUUGAAGGUUUUGAGUUUUCUAUUCAAGCACACAUACCCCUGGAGAGAGAUAACCACUUGUGCUAGUAUCAACAACUACCCCAUGGGAAUUAGUUGUUUACCACCUGCUUUCGAAUCUGGGAAAGACCUUGCAAGGUGAGACUGAGUAGAAGAAGAAGGGAGAGGCAGAGAUCGGAGUACACAGUGUCAUAGGGAACAAAAUUGCUACUUUCCAUUUGCCUCAGAAUUACUUUUU